RNAcentral lists this unclassified non-coding RNA (861 nucleotides) under Sodalis-like secondary symbiont of Eucorysses grandis. Its description in RNAcentral is "16S-23S ribosomal RNA intergenic spacer". The stretch from base 346 to 418 matches the Rfam family "tRNA". The record is from RNAcentral. Lineage: Bacteria; Pseudomonadati; Pseudomonadota; Gammaproteobacteria; Enterobacterales; Bruguierivoracaceae.
CCUAGACGAUACGUUGAGUGACGUGUCCACACAGAUUGUCUGAUAACUGUCACGAGCAAGAAAAACCUUCUAUAGGCUUGUAGCUCAGGUGGUUAGAGCGCACCCCUGAUAAGGGUGAGGUCGGUGGUUCAAGUCCACUCAGGCCUACCAGUUCCGCUUAUCCCGAUGAAUGAGACCGCAGCGUGUUGCCGCCAGGCAAGCGUGUCAGGCGGUGUCCGGCAUGCGGCGAAAAGGGAGACUGGCUGUCGUCCUGUUUACUGACUGUGAUGAACGAGGCAUUACCUGUGCACGCAGGUAGGCGGACUCAGCGCGGGUGACCGACGGCAUAUGCAAGGUGAACGACUUGGGGCUAUAGCUCAGCUGGGAGAGCGCCUGCUUUGCACGCAGGAGGUCAGCGGUUCGAUCCCGCUUAGCUCCACCAUUCCGUCAUGGAAUGUUUUUGUCAUCCUGCGGGACGAGAGGUUUUUCUGUCGUUGACUUAUUUCAGAGCGCGUUUAUCGAGCGCGCUGCGAAAUACCGCUCUUUAACAAUCCGGAACAAGCUGAAAAUUUGAAACACAUGCUGAAGUGCAAACUCAGUAUGCGAGUCUCUCAAACGAAGUAAGCAAACCUGAGAUAACGCGUAAGCGUUAUCACUGUAGCGCGACAGGCCCUGUCGUCUCCGUGGCGUCUUUACAGACGACGCCGGGUCUCGCCAGUAUGGCGACACUCGAGCGAGACGGCGCGAACGGCUGAAAGCCCAGGCGCACGGCACGCAGGCACCGCAAUGGACUUGAUGUCCAUGAGGAUGCCGAGUACCGCGCAACGCCGGAUUUCGGUCGUGCAGCCCGUCGGAUAAGGUGCAAACAGCUCAGAGUUGUGA